GACAACGUGCAUUUCCUACUUACAGCAAGUUAACUAUCUAUGGAGUUAACCAACAAAAAUGGAGUUGUUUUCUUAAUCUGCAACAUAAUCGAAAAUGCUGAUUACUCUGCUAAUUAAGCAAAUAUGCUGUAAAUUCUUUGACGAUCGAUGGAAGACAGUAUUAAAAUAGUUUUAAUGAUUCCUCAAACCCUCGGGGUCGAAAAAAUUACUUAAAUGAAUCUUCUGUAUUUUUACAAAUGUAUCAUAAUAAUCAAAUAAUUUAAAGGUAUGCAAGUAAAAGCACUAUAUAAUGUUUAAUUGAACAUGGUGAAAGAGAUUCUCUAAAGAGCAAAUCAAGCUAAUAAGACUUUUGUCUGCAGUCAUAGUAAAUGCACUCCAUACCUACUGGUUUUCAAAAGGAAGGAUUUAUGCAAGGCUUUAUAAUCGAAUUGGCAAAACUUAAAUAUAUACAAUAAUAAUAAAGACAGUAAUCAUCCCUCUUCUCUGCGGAGAACAUACCAGGGCAAACAAGAAAAGCAUAAUUCCAUUUUAAAAUCCAUAAAAAUAAUAUAGAAGACAACUACUUACAAUAUUGAAGUGCUACUGAUCGUAUUCAUGUUAUAACUUUGUCAAAUAGUUUACAUGUUUUACAAAAAACAGUUUUUUUAUUGUAAAAAUCAUCGACAUAGACAAAUAAACACAUAUUAUCUUA
Molecule: long non-coding RNA, 691 nt
Organism: Agrilus planipennis (emerald ash borer)
Lineage: Eukaryota; Metazoa; Arthropoda; Insecta; Coleoptera; Buprestidae
Exons: 2
Source: RefSeq, a predicted model, not a curated record